UACGGGGGGGGCAAGCGUUGUUCGGAAUUACUGGGCGUAAAGGGUUCGUAGGUGGCUCGCUAAGUCAGACGUGAAAUCCCUCAGCUUAACUGGGGAACUGCGUCUGAGACUGGCAAGCUUGAGUGCAGGAGAGGAACGCGGAAUUCCAGGUGUAGCGGUGAAAUGCGUAGAUAUCUGGAGGAACACCGGUGGCGAAGGCGGCGUUCUGGACUGUAACUGACACUGAGAGACGAAAGCCAGGGUAGCAAACGGG
Molecule: ribosomal RNA, 253 nt
Filed under: uncultured bacterium
Lineage: Bacteria
Description: partial 16S ribosomal RNA
Rfam family: Bacterial small subunit ribosomal RNA
Source: RNAcentral